CGUGGCGGGCUCGGGCUCUCCCGGCUGGGACCCCGCGGCGGGCUGGGCCAGGGUGGAGAACCACGAGGACAUGGCCGACUUGGCGCUGGUCAAGGCUCCGCCCACCGACUGACCUGCGGGGGACAGCCAAGCUUCUUCCCUCGCUCGCUGCUGUUCACCGAGCUGUGCCGAGAACCACAGACCAGUGUUUCAGGUCAAGAUGAAAGUGGUCCCACCUUCCUGGUAGUUGUGAGCUCCGUCUGGAAGAGCCAGGAAAGGAAGGUACUUCCACUCCUCGGGCAGCGUGUUGCUGUCGUGACCUUCGUGCGGCAUCAGCGGCGGGUAGGAAAACUCCACCUGCCGUGAAAAAGGAGGAAAAUAUUAGAGGUGGCAAUGAUGAAUCAGCAGUUUAUACACACACACACUUUUUUUUUUUUUUUUAAUAACCAUGUAAUUACUCCUCAUUGUCUUGUUGGGCUUUAAAAAAAAACAUAUUUUAUAAUAUUACAGGAGGUCCCGGAAGUACAGUAGAGGAGGGAAUAGAAAGACCGAAACUACUCCAUCAAGUCAAAAACAGGCUCGCUUUUUUGUGAGCUGAUGAACGGCAGCUAAUUUGCCAGCCAGGGCAGUGCUGCCAACUCACCCUGGCUGGCGAGUGUGGAAGUAUUAUUGUAGCAAAACUACUUGCAAAUGCGUAUCUAACUUGGUGUACUAAUUUGUGUGUCUCUAUCUCAAUCUGUGUGCGACUGUGCGUAGUCAGAUAC
Nerophis lumbriciformis (worm pipefish) is the source of this 743-nucleotide long non-coding RNA. RefSeq lists it as uncharacterized. The record is from RefSeq and is a predicted model, not a curated record. Lineage: Eukaryota; Metazoa; Chordata; Actinopteri; Syngnathiformes; Syngnathidae.